This is a long non-coding RNA of Sycon ciliatum, 2124 nucleotides long. RefSeq lists it as uncharacterized. The record is from RefSeq and is a predicted model, not a curated record. The transcript has 3 exons. Lineage: Eukaryota; Metazoa; Porifera; Calcarea; Leucosolenida; Sycettidae.
AGCUUAGUUGACAUGGCAACCACAAGCGUACGGCGCCGAACCCGAACAUGUGUGGACGGUGGUAAUGGUGAUAGUGAUGGCAGAUCAGAGUCACAUAUUGUGGACGGUGGUGAUAGCAGACCAGGGUCACAGAGUGUGGACGGUGGUGAUGGCAGACCAGGGUCACACAGUGCAGAUGGACACACAGCAGAGGAGGGUCAUGGAGCAGAAGAGAGGAAUGAAACGGCAUUGGAGCAUGACGCAUCCUCAUCAGCUGCACCAGUGGCAGUACCAGCCCAGAGGCCCAUACCAUUCCUUGCAAUGGUGGUGGGGUUGAGUCUUCUUAUCAUUGGUGCCAUCAGUGUCUACUACGGUUUCAGCUCACCAACUACACUCCACAUGGAUCGUGCUGAAAAGCUGUCGAAGAUUGGCUACGCCAAUGGCAACAAAAAAAACGCACCGAUCCUUGCAGCGACCACAGCAAACACUGUUGAUAACAGUCCGUGCGUCAGAUUCGCUGUGCCUGGACACCAGGCUCGCACGCGCGGCCAGGCACAGCGCGCAUUAGUUCUUCCGCCUGUUUCUACGCAAUAUGGCAUGCGUUCUAUUUCUUUCCUGGCGGCAGACAGAUGGAAUGCUCUUCCCACUGACUGCCGUCAGGCCCCGUCUCUUACUCUGUAUGUAAACAUGGUAAAAAUUCACCUAGGGUUCCCAGUAAAAAGGCAACGCCUGUUGGGACUCCCCUAGUAAAAUAAUAAAAUCUACUACUACUACUACUACUAGAUUCAAAAUAUCGGACUCUAUCCGUUAUUUUAUUUUUCAAGAGUCAGUCUACUUUGAACGUUUUGAGCAAUUUCUUUAUUUGAAUUGUUAGUUUCUAGUCAUUGCAAGGUGGGCCUUACAAGGCCCUUAUUCGUUCGAGUUCAGACCUGACACGCCGUCCAUCGCCGGAUAAGGCAAACUUCUAUCCUCAGUUUCGAACGUUUUCUCGCGGGGUGCUUCUGUCCCAUGCAGCAUCACGUCUUCUCCGAUUGUCGAAAUUUGAUUUUUUCUUUACGCAGGACUUUAGUUUAGUGCCGUCAAGUAUUCCAGGCACGCGUAGUAACACCCACUACAACAUCCAGAAGAACAAGCCUUAGUCUUUUAGUAUGUGGUCUCUCGCCGGUGUCCAAGACCAAAUAACACCACACCGACCAAUUUUCUAACCUCUGUUUUCUCGCUAUUUACAUGUAUUUGGAGGACAGCUGGAAACAUGUAGCACUCACAAUGAACACAUCAGGACGGUGCAAUAAUGCCACUCAGCUAUACCCUGGGCGUGUUUGCAUUCCUGUCUGCGAGUUAUGCCAAGCAACUCGUCUGGACACCAGUGCACAUAUCCGACAAAUGCAGAAUAUUGGAAUAUUUUGGUAAAAUAGUGAACGGCGAAAGACAAAAACCCAAAUUGCAGCUACCUACAGACUAAUAUCCACACAUGCUGGCCGUGUAAAGGAGUGUCAAUGAGAAUCUUCAUUGUAUUACUACAGAAGUGUCGUUUUCCAGGUGCCUUCUACCACCCCAUCAUCCCCUCUUCUCUGCCGACUUGCUCUUCUUACUCUUACUCAGAUAUAUCAGCAAAAAUUAUUAUUUUUUGUUCACAGAUGUCUUGGUGCUAAAAUAAUCAGUAGUCUUUUCAGCACUUUCUUUGAUUUAGUCAAUGGUCAGGCCACGCGUGGUCAGGCUUCACGUCUGCUUCGUGUCCCGUUUUUGCCAGGUCCUUCCGGUCGAUCCACUGUUCAGUUCAUUGGUAGUGUGUACUGGAACUGCCUGCCGGCUGAUGUCCACUCCAUCACAACUCCUUCUGCAUUUAAGAAAGCAAUUACAAACGAUAUCUGAAACUCUCUUAUCCUCUCCUAAGAUCUCAAAGACGCAUAACUAUCAACAUUCCCUCAACCCUGGAACCUUUGCAUCCGUUGCAUUUUUUUCAUGAAAAAUUCAUCAAAUUCCAAUUCGUUACUUGUAGUACUCCCUCAUUGAUUUGUUUCCGUCUUCUCUUUGUGCCUUGUUCAUGAUUGUAUUUUCCUCUUCCUCCUUUUCUUAUAUCACCACCUUCAUCAUUUUGCGAGAACUGUGGCAAUACGCCCAGUGAGAAGGCAGAUUUUGCCUGUG